UGGAAGCUCCGGAUCCAGCUGUACCUGGGCCAUUGCCACAUGGCAGAAUCAGAGCUGGGCCUGCAACCCAAGCGUCUGAUUGGGCCAGGCUGCUCCCUGUCCAAUCCUGCCCCACACAUCUGGAUCAGGCUGGACUGCUCCCCAUCCCCCACAUAUCUAGAUCUGGGCCACUCUGCUCCUUCCCCACCACAAGUGUCCAAAUCAGGGCUGCUCCGCUCCCAUCUCCACCCUUUCCCCCCUGAGUGUCUGGAUGGGGACCAGGCUGCUCCCUGCUCCCAUCAGGGUCAGGCUGCACCCCUCCCCUCCAUGCUGGCCCUGUGUACCAAGGCCUAUGACUGGAUCCAGCCUGUGGAUGGACCUGGCACCACCCAUCCAGCCCAUGGGGCUAAAAGGUUGGGCACCGCUGAUUUAAACUAUUGCUCUAAUGUCCAAGCUCCUCCCAGGGGAGGGCCCUAAACUUCUGGCACAAUAGAGAGCCUUUAUGGACACUGCAUUUGCCUUUCGUGGUCUGCAGAUAACAAGAGGACUCUGGCCUCUGGAAUCUCCCAGGUGGCGUAAGGAGAAAGCGAAUGCAGGACCCUCCCAUUGCUUUCAGUGAAACCGAAAAUAACUCAUAGCCAAGCCUUAGGAAACUGGAACUUGUCUUGAAGCCAGCAGCAGGGCUCGGCUUUGCUGUGGGCUGGUUCCAGUGCAGCACAAAUACCAGUAGUUAUUUAUCAAAGAGGAAGAGCCCUGCUGGGAGGUAGGCAGAUCCAGCUGUAAAGGCACCUGGAGACUGUACGUUAAGAAGUGACAUCAUCAAAUGUAGAGGCAGGAUUGCUAACCUCCCACUGCAGGAGCUGAAGGGGCAGAGAGAAGGCAGGAAGCUUCUCCAUGGAGGCUUCGAAGAAGGACCCCGAGGAGCAAGGCGGUGGCAAAAGAGUGGAAGACAUUGUCUCUGAAUUUUUGGAGGCUGAAGGAGAGGCAGAAAAGCUUUGUUGUCACUACAAGGAGGGGAUCCAGGCUGUUCAGAUGAGCCUGGAGUCCCUCUGAAAGAAAGUCAUGGGGCAGUUCAAGGAGAUGCACAACAUCCUCUAUGCUGAGGAGCAGUCAGUGAUGGCCAAGAUUAGCCAAGAGGAAGAGCAGGUAGUUGGAGGUCUGGAGAACAGGCUGAAGAAGAUCACUGAGAGAGCAGCCAAUGUUUUGGAGAUAGUGGAUUACCUGGGCCAGGUGAGAGAGUGUGAUGAGCACAUUGCAGAUGCGGCAGGGAGCCAAGUAGACCAGUUCAAGGCAGAGCUGAAGGAGCACACGGAGGAACUGAGUCUCAGCAAGCCAGCAGGCCUUUGCAGCCUUCCUCUGAUGUAUGCCAUCUGCAGGAGGAUGCUGCGACAGGCUAUGCAGUCUGCAUUGGAGAGCCUCACCCUGGAUCCACACACAGCCCAUGCCCAUCUGGAUCUCUCUGAAGACUUAAAAGCAGUGAAGCUGGGACAUCGCUCCCAGACCAUUCCCAAGGAUCCUCAGCGCUUCCAUCCCUGUCUGUAUGUACUCUGCUCCCAAGGCUUCUGCUCGGGCAGGCACUACUGGGAGGUGAGUGUUGGGAACAAAAGCAACUGGGUAGUUGGGGUAGCCAGCCACAGAGUCAACCGCCAGGCGACAGAAGAUCUGAUCCCGGAAAAUGGCUACUGGGCCCUUCGGAAGCUGCCAGGUGACCAUUACUAUGCCCUCUCCUCACCCCCAGACCGCCUGACCCUUGACACCAGGCCCAGGAGGGUGGGCGUUUGCCUGGAUUAUGAGUGUGGCAGGGUUGGGUUUUAUGAUGCCCAUGGCAUGGCUAAGAUCUGCCUGCUCCAGGGCCACUUCCAGGGCAUGCUCUACCCUUUCCUGUGCCCUGGGUUGGUGCUGUCUGAACAGGACCAUGAACCUCUGCGGCUGUGUGACUGAAGCAAAGGGAGGCACGUCUGGAGACCCCUGCCCAACUGAGUCCCUUUUCUGCUCUUUGAGGAGCAAACUUGGGUCUGGGCCUGCAGCGAAUAAGACUCUUGACUAAAUGAAUGCAAACAGCAAUGCUCAGACUACAAGCGGCCCCUCACCUUAUCCCUCUGCAGCUCUUGGCGAAGAGAUGUUAUGCCGGGGGUUCGGUUCCCUGCACACGACAGGUCUGUCAUUCCUGCACUUGUGACUAAUACAAGUCUCUUCUCUCAGCCAUGGUGCCAAUUAGACUAACGCACCAGAGCAGUGGUGCCCAACUUUUUUCCCCUUUGUGGCAGAUGGACGGUGCUCAGAGCAUCCGCAGGGCGGAUCUGGCUGCACAGUGGGGAAGCGGGAUGGGCCCAAGCCCAAUACAGCCGUGUUGGGGAAGGAGGGGGUGUGGUCUGGUGUCAAGGGGAUUGAAAAUUUGGCAGUGGGGGAAAGGCAGCAGUAUGACUUGUCACUGCUCCCCUGCCACAAAAUUUCCCAAUCCACGAGGAGCCCCGUGGGCUGGAUGCCACAGCUCCACAGACCGCAUUUGGUCUGAGAGCUAGAGGUUGAGCACCUCUGCACCAAAGCUUUCUCUUUGGCCACAAUUCACCCAGGAGUGCCUAGGAGAUGGCUCUCAGGUUAACACUGCCUGUUCCCAUGACGCCUGAGCCAGGCAGGACUGAGUAUCACAGGUAUAAAUGAAGAGGAGGAACGAACCGAGUCCUGUGUGGCUGGUGGUUUCUAGGGGAAGAAGAUUGUCGUGGAAGAACUGUAUGUUUUGGGGGGGAAAGAUUUUCCAAUGAUGAUACCAUUUCAUGGGUAUGGAAACGCACUGACUUGUUGGUGACUGCUUGGAGGAAAACAUUUUGUGACUCAGAUCUAACGGAGACCACACAGAAACAGGUAUUUGAGGAGGGGGAGCUGAGGGACUCUUCUACAGGGGGAGGAUGAGGGAAUCCUCAGAACACGCCGAACACUUUCUCAGAGCUGGGCAAGCAUCUUUUUGCACACGCAGGAUUCAAGCUACAGCAGAAAGGUCGACGCGGGGGGCAGGGGGACCUCUCUAACCGAAACAACGAGGACUUGUUUGUAGGAGAAAUUGCCCACGGCCCAACUGUGGGGGUUGGGAAAUGAGGCGAGCCCGGCUGAAAAGAGCAGGGCCGGCUUUGGGGUGUGAGGGCCCAAGGGAGCAGGUUUAUGGGGCAUCCGUCUCUCGUCCCUCCUGCCCACGCAGGCGGCCUCCUCGCUCCGUCCUCUGCCCGCGAGGUGCGUGGGUCGGCCUUGCCCCGCGACCCCGCAGGGCGCCGCCCUGGCUCGGCCCGGGGUGGGCGCGGAGGGAGGCGGGACCCCACACAGGGAGGGGUCAGGCCCUCCGGGCCGGGCGAGCGCGGGGCGCAGCAGGAGUGGGCAGAGGCCAGUGGGGCCGGGCGCUGGGUGGCACCAAGGGGCCGGCCCCAUGGGCGAGAGGCCGCCAGGACGGAGGGUGCCCACACCCUCCCAGGCCCGGAGCGACUAGCGAGCCGAGGCCCGGCUGGGCUCAUAGCGCCGCACUGCCCCUCCGAGCCAGCAGGUAGCGCUGAAGCGUGGUGUCGGCUGUGCGCCUGCGCGGCGCUGUGGGGGGCCACAGGGGUAGCUGGAAGUACCCCUGCACGUGACCCGGGAACACGGAAGUGCGAGCGGGGCCAGCCGGCGGCGGCGAAGAUGAGCGGCGGAGCCGAGCCGGUGGCGGUGCCGCCUCCAGCCGCGGGGCGCGGGGUCCGCAUCGUCGUGGAGUACUGUGAGCCCUGUGGGUUUGAGUCGACGUACCAGGAGCUGGCGAGUGCAGUGAAAGAAGAGUACCCAGACAUAGAAAUCGAGUCCAGGCUUGGGGGGAAAGCUGAUUGAAGCAAUAAGAAGAGCCAGGAAUGGAGAACCCUUAGAGAAAAUCACCAACAGUCGUCCUCCAUGUGUCAUCCUGUAGCCUU
This is an RNA transcript of Alligator mississippiensis (American alligator), 3902 nucleotides long. It is a transcript of the gene named migration and invasion enhancer 1, with no coding region annotated. The record is from RefSeq and is a predicted model, not a curated record. NCBI's taxonomy places the organism in Eukaryota, Metazoa, Chordata, Crocodylia, Alligatoridae. The transcript has 3 exons.